Molecule: ribosomal RNA, 365 nt
Filed under: uncultured eukaryote
Lineage: Eukaryota
Description: partial 18S ribosomal RNA
Rfam family: Eukaryotic small subunit ribosomal RNA
Source: RNAcentral
CAAUAGCGUAUAUUUAAGUUGUUGCAGUUAAAAAGCUCGUAGUCGGAUUUUGGCUGAGAACGAACGGUCCGCCGUUAGGUGUGCACUGUUUGGUCUCAGCUUCCUGGUGAGGAGGUGUGCUUCACGGCCACUUAGUCACCGUGGUUACUUUGAAAAAAUUAGAGUGUUCAAAGCGGGCUUACGCUUGAAUAUAUUAGCAUGGAAUAACACCAUAGGACUCCUGUCCUAUUUCGUUGGUCUCGGGACGGGAGUAAUGAUUAAGAGGAACAGUUGGGGGCAUUCGUAUUUCAUUGUCAGAGGUGAAAUUCUUGGAUUUAUGAAAGACGAACCUCUGCGAAAGCAUUUGCCAAGGAUGUUUUCAUUGA